Non-coding RNA from Paramuricea clavata, 135 nucleotides. Lineage: Eukaryota; Metazoa; Cnidaria; Anthozoa; Malacalcyonacea; Plexauridae. The record is from the annotation of a GenBank genome assembly.
AUAGCAAACCUAUAUGAUGAUCAGAAAGACUCAAAAUUUCAUGAAAAUGUUUUUAAAUAGCUAUUAGUGAUAGCUAUUUAAAGACAUUUUCAUGAAGUUUUGAGUCUUUCUGAUCAUCGUAUAGGUUACUCUAAC